This 728-nucleotide ribosomal RNA is filed under the name Rhagada gatta. RNAcentral's name for it is "partial 16S ribosomal RNA". It matches the Rfam family "Bacterial large subunit ribosomal RNA", at positions 712 to 2557 of the family's 2925-position model. Lineage: Eukaryota; Metazoa; Mollusca; Gastropoda; Stylommatophora; Camaenidae. The record is from RNAcentral.
CGCGAAGCGAUAUGAGCUAAAGAGUAUAUAUAAUAGUGGGAAAGUGUUGCAGAACGUAAAGAGUGCUCUUUAGGAGUGAUAGGCCUCACAAAUAUCGCGAUAUCUUGUUUACCUUGAAACUUAUUUAGUAUGAGACACAUCUAAAGUGAUAAUAUUUUAGAUCGAAAUUAACGCAUACGAUAUACGUUUAUCUAGUGUAAAAGCGCAUAAAUUACUAUAGCACUAUUAAUUUAUAAUAAUUGUUUAAAGUAAAGGUAAGUAUUUUAAUGAAAAUGUAUAUCUAUAAUGUUAAUAUAAGUAAAUAUAAAAGUAUACUAAAUGAACUCGGCUAAAAUUUCUCGACUGUUUAUCAAAAACAUAGCUAGAUGUAUUUAUAUUUAGUGCCUCCUGCUCAAUGAUCUAUUUUAAUAGCCGCAGUACUCUGACUGUGCAAAGGUAGCAUAAUCAAUUGGCUUAUAAUUGAAGUCUGGGAUGAAAGGAUUCACGGGGAAUUACUUUAUCUAGUGUUUAGUGUGAAAUUGGAUUUCAAGUGCAAAUACUUGCAAUUAAAUGUUAGACGAGAAGACCCUAGAAAUUUGUACACACGUUUAGUUGGGGCAACGAAGUAGGAUGUAACCUACAUUUUCGGACAAGAAAUUGAUUAGGAAGAAAAAAUUACUCUAGGGAUAACAGCAUAAUUUAUAAAAGUUUGUGACCUCGAUGUUGGAUUUGGGAAUUAUAGUCUAGAA